Molecule: ribosomal RNA, 478 nt
Filed under: uncultured bacterium
Lineage: Bacteria
Description: partial 16S ribosomal RNA
Rfam family: Bacterial small subunit ribosomal RNA
Source: RNAcentral
GACGAACGCUGGUGGCGUGCUUAACACAUGCAAGUCGAACGGUAAGGCCCUUCGGGGUACACGAGUGGCGAACGGGUGAGUAACACGUGGGUGAUCUGCCCUGCACUUCGGGAUAAGCCUGGGAAACUGGGACUAAUACCGGAUAGGACCACUGCCUGCAUGGGUGGUGGUGGAAAGCUUUUGCGGUGUGGGAUGGGCCCGCGGCCUAUCAGCUUGUUGGUGGGGUGAUGGCCUACCAAGGCGACGACGGGUAGCCGGCCUGAGAGGGUGACCGGCCACACUGGGACUGAGAUACGGCCCAGACUCCUACGGGAGGCAGCAGUGGGGAAUAUUGCACAAUGGGCGCAAGCCUGAUGCAGCGACGCCGCGUGAGGGAUGACGGCCUUCGGGUUGUAAACCUCUUUCAGCACCGACGAAGCGCAAGUGACGGUAGGUGCAGAAGAAGGACCGGCCAACUACGUGCCAGCCGCCGCGGUAA